CCCUUCCUCAAAGGCCCGUGGCGGUUUUCUGCAUCUUGUCUUUCACUUUUGGCUUCACUUGUGGCUCUGAGCAUUUGGGGAACCGGGUGAUGUCCCUUGCUGUGCCCUCUGUGCUGCUCACUGGGUACUCUGUUGGAUAGAGGGACAAAUCUCUUCCCUUCUGGACUUGUUCAGGUCCUCCUCCCCCUCCAUCUGAGCCCCUUGCUCUUACCCUAGCCUCAACUCUGACCUCCAGUCCCAGCAUAGUAAAGCUCUCAGAGCCUUGGCCAAGUCAGCAUUGUUGCUGGCCACCCAGUAGCAUCAGGCAUAGCUGACUUUUGUUCCUUGUCACCUUUCUUCCAACUCUUGCCUCUUUUGUUGCCUUUACUCCUCUGCAAAAACCUCAAACAGAGGCUCAGUCCUCAGUCACAGGGACCCUGGUCUUUCCAUCUUCCAUCUCAGGUGCCAUCUUCCCUCUCUCAAGAGGGCACCAUGGGUGUUGGGUUCCACUCAUGGCCAAGCCUUGUUAUUUCACCUCCCCAGUGACCUCUUGUCUGCACACAUCCUUUUCCUAGCACUUCUAGUCUCAGCUAGCAUCCUCUCCCACCUGGACAUUGCACUGGCCUCCCUGGUUACCUUGCAAUUCUUGCCCCCCGCCCCCCGACCCCCAGGCUACUCCUUACCCUGCAGAGAGCGGGUCUUUCUAAAUUGGAAAUCUGGUCACAUUCUUUCUCUGGUUUAAACCCUUCAGCAGUCUGGGCCUGGUGGCUCACACCUGUAAUCCCAGCACUUUGGAAGCCCAGGAGUUCGGGGCUGCAGUGAGUAUGGAUCAUACCAUUGCACUCCAGCCUGGGCAAUAGACCCCGUCUCAAAGGGGGAAAAAAAAGACUUGGGUUUGAGGCUAAGAGCAGCACGCAGCUGCCAAAGGGUUUAUCUUAAUUUUUUUUUUUUUU
RNAcentral lists this long non-coding RNA (932 nucleotides) under Homo sapiens (human). RNAcentral describes it as "non-protein coding lnc-PSKH1-1:1". Lineage: Eukaryota; Metazoa; Chordata; Mammalia; Primates; Hominidae. The record is from RNAcentral.